This 1041-nucleotide long non-coding RNA is filed under the name Sus scrofa (pig). RNAcentral describes it as "lncRNA (ENSSSCG00070009663.1)". The record is from RNAcentral. Lineage: Eukaryota; Metazoa; Chordata; Mammalia; Artiodactyla; Suidae.
CUUCCACUUUUUUUCUUUCGCUGUGAACACGAAUGGCUUCAAGCGACUAGAAAAGAGUUAUUUUAAAGCACGGUUAGACGUCCCCGUCGGCUAAGAUGGAGCAACUGGGACCAGAGGUACCACCUGCUUGAGCAGAAGCAGCAGAAACAAGAGGACACAAGGUGUCGAAGCCACUGGACACGCGGCAGCUGAGAACAGUGCCUCGGAGACCCGGGACACCAGGGAACUCGGCCCGGGACGGGGCGGAGCAGAAGAGGCCUCCUGCUCCAUGGUCUCGGUUGGUGCCAUGUCGCCGGGGGUGUGUGAGAUGACCAAGCUGUGUGUCAUAACCCCCAAGGCAGCAGGUCACGAAUCACAUGAAAUAUAAAUGGUCUAAAUGCUCCAACUGAAAACCAAAGGUUGUCAGAUUGGAAAAACACCAAGACCCAAUGAUGUGAUUCCCCCAAGAAAUCCACUUUAAAUACAAAGACUUAAGAACAGGUUUUAAAAAACACAAAACUGGAAAAAGUUAAAGCAGGCUACCCCUGAUCACAGAGAGCUGGCGUGACCACACUAACAUCCAAGCAGAAGCACCUCAGGCCUCGGCGGCGAGACAGGCGCGUGGGCUGGGGCACAGCCACCAGGCUGCGGGAGGAGCGGAGGCUUACACACCCCCACGUGUGGUGAAUCUCACCUACACCAGUGAAAUGAGCCAGACCCCCCAAGAAAAGAAAAAAAAAGGAAAGCUACAUUGUUACACUUCUAAAAGUUGUGGAAGAUGCCUAUUGAUCCAUCGGGGAGCCAGGAGGCAGGUGCUGUGGCCGGCACAGUCGCCUGUCACAAGCAUCCAGCUGACGUCGGUCUGGGUGCCCGCUCCCCCGGCUGCCUCAGCAGAAUGAGUGACCGGGCUGCUCUGGGGCCAGGCCCAGACCCGAGGCCUCCUCCGCCUGGGGCAGGGAGCCCGGGGCCCAGGCGCGAGCAGAGGAUGGAGCCCUGCCCGGCGUGAGGAGGGCCGCUCGCGGCGCUGGCAGGAGGGACUUGUGAUCUGGGAGGUGCUCCGCC